UCCCAUAUGGGGUAACGGCUAGCCUCACCGUCUUUCACACGGUAGACCCGGGUUCGACUCCCGGUGUGGGAA
Penicillium decumbens is the source of this 72-nucleotide transfer RNA. It matches the Rfam family "tRNA". From Rfam's summary of the family: Transfer RNA (tRNA) molecules are approximately 80 nucleotides in length. NCBI's taxonomy places the organism in Eukaryota, Fungi, Ascomycota, Eurotiomycetes, Eurotiales, Aspergillaceae. The record is from Rfam.